Molecule: ribosomal RNA, 465 nt
Filed under: Vreelandella stevensii
Lineage: Bacteria; Pseudomonadati; Pseudomonadota; Gammaproteobacteria; Oceanospirillales; Halomonadaceae
Description: partial 16S ribosomal RNA
Rfam family: Bacterial small subunit ribosomal RNA
Source: RNAcentral
CCUACGGGGGGCUGCAGUGGGGAAUAUUGGACAAUGGGGGGAACCCUGAUCCAGCCAUGCCGCGUGUGUGAAGAAGGCCCUCGGGUUGUAAAGCACUUUCAGUGAGGAAGAACGCCUGGUGGUUAAUACCCAUCAGGAAAGACAUCACUCACAGAAGAAGCACCGGCUAACUCCGUGCCAGCAGCCGCGGUAAUACGGAGGGUGCGAGCGUUAAUCGGAAUUACUGGGCGUAAAGCGCGCGUAGGUGGCUUGAUAAGCCGGUUGUGAAAGCCCCGGGCUCAACCUGGGAACGGCAUCCGGAACUGUCAAGCUAGAGUGCAGGAGAGGAAGGUAGAAUUCCCGGUGUAGCGGUGAAAUGCGUAGAGAUCGGGAGGAAUACCAGUGGCGAAGGCGGCCUUCUGGACUGAAACUGACACUGAGGUGCGAAAGCGUGGGUAGCAAACAGGAUUAGAUACCCUAGUAGUC